GGAUUGAAGCUUGCUUCAAUUGCCGGCGACCGGCGCACGGGUGAGUAACGCGUAUCCAACCUUCCGCUUACUCGGGGAUAGCCUUUCGAAAGAAAGAUUAAUACCCGAUGGUAUCUUAAGCACGCAUGAGAUUAAGAUUAAAGAUUUAUCGGUAAGCGAUGGGGAUGCGUUCCAUUAGGCAGUUGGCGGGGUAACGGCCCACCAAACCUACGAUGGAUAGGGGUUCUGAGAGGAAGGUCCCCCACAUUGGAACUGAGACACGGUCCAAACUCCUACGGGAGGCAGCAGUGAGGAAUAUUGGUCAAUGGGCGAGAGCCUGAACCAGCCAAGUAGCGUGAAGGAUGACGGCCCUACGGGUUGUAAACUUCUUUUGUGCGGGAAUAAAGGAACCUACGUGUAGGUUUUUGCAUGUACCGUAACGAAUAAGCAUCGGCUAACUCCGUGCCAGCAGCCGCGGUAAUACGGAGGAUGCGAGCGUUAUCCGGAUUUAUUGGGUUUAAAGGGAGCGUAGACGGGUUUUUAAGUCAGCUGCGAAAGUUUGGGGCUCAACCUUAAAAUUGCAGUUGAAACUGGAGACCUUGAGUACGGUUGAGGCAGGCGGAAUUCGUGGUGUAGCGGUGAAAUGCUUAGAUAUCACGAAGAGCCCCGAUUGCGAAUGCAGGCUGCUAAGCCGCCACUGACGUUGA
Molecule: ribosomal RNA, 686 nt
Filed under: uncultured bacterium
Lineage: Bacteria
Description: bacterial SSU rRNA
Rfam family: Bacterial small subunit ribosomal RNA
Source: RNAcentral